This 23-nucleotide non-coding RNA is filed under the name Arabidopsis thaliana (thale cress). Lineage: Eukaryota; Viridiplantae; Streptophyta; Magnoliopsida; Brassicales; Brassicaceae. The record is from RNAcentral.
CAACUCGAAGAACAUCAUCAAGU